UACGAAGGGUGCAAGCGUUAAUCGGAAUUACUGGGCGUAAAGCGCGCGUAGGUGGUUCAGUAAGUUGGAAGUGAAAUCCCCGGGCUCAACCUGGGAACUGCUUUCAAAACUGCUGAGCUAGAGUACGGUAGAGGGUGGUGGAAUUUCCUGUGUAGCGGUGAAAUGCGUGGAUAUAGGAAGGAACACCAGUGGCGAAGGCGACCACCUGGACUGAUACUGACACUGAGGUGCGAAAGCGUGGGGAGCAAACAGG
RNAcentral lists this ribosomal RNA (253 nucleotides) under uncultured bacterium. RNAcentral describes it as "partial 16S ribosomal RNA". It matches the Rfam family "Bacterial small subunit ribosomal RNA", at positions 524 to 776 of the family's 1533-position model. The record is from RNAcentral.